CCUACGGGAGGCAGCAGUGAGGAAUAUUGGUCAAUGGGCGGGAGCCUGAACCAGCCAAGUCGCGUGAGGGAAGACGGUCCUAUGGAUUGUAAACCGCUUUAGGCGGGGAGCAAUGCCGGGCACGCGUGCCCGGAGGGAGAGUACCCGCAGAAUAAGCAUCGGCUAAAUCCGUGCCAGCAGCCGCGGUAAUACGGAGGAUGCGAGCGUUAUCCGGAGUUAUUGGGUUUAAAGGGUGCGUAGGCGGAUUUUUAAGUCAGCGGUAAAAUGUCCGGGCUCAACCCGGGCCGGCCGUUGAAACUGGGGAUCUUGAGUGGGCGCGAAGUAUGCGGAAUGCGUGGUGUAGCGGUGAAAUGCAUAGAUAUCACGAAGAACUCCGAUUGCGAAGGCAGCAUACCGGCGCCCGACUGACGCUGAGGCACGAAAGCGUGGGGAUCGAACAGGAUUAGAUACCCCGGUAGUC
This 460-nucleotide ribosomal RNA is filed under the name uncultured bacterium. RNAcentral describes it as "partial 16S ribosomal RNA". It matches the Rfam family "Bacterial small subunit ribosomal RNA", at positions 338 to 795 of the family's 1533-position model. The record is from RNAcentral.